Molecule: ribosomal RNA, 253 nt
Filed under: uncultured bacterium
Lineage: Bacteria
Description: partial 16S ribosomal RNA
Rfam family: Bacterial small subunit ribosomal RNA
Source: RNAcentral
UACGUAGGGGGCAAGCGUUGUCCGGAAUCAUUGGGCGUAAAGGGCGCGUAGGCGGUUUGUACAGUCAGACGUGAAAUUCCUGGGCUCAACCUGGGGGCUGCGUUUGAUACGUGCAGACUUGAGUUCGGAAGAGGGUCGUGGAAUUCCCAGUGUAGAGGUGAAAUUCGUAGAUAUUGGGAAGAACACCGGUGGCGAAGGCGGCGACCUGGUCCGAUACUGACGCUGAGGCGCGAAAGCGUGGGGAGCAAACAGG